This 204-nucleotide unclassified non-coding RNA is filed under the name Hevea brasiliensis (rubber tree). Lineage: Eukaryota; Viridiplantae; Streptophyta; Magnoliopsida; Malpighiales; Euphorbiaceae. The record is from RNAcentral.
UUAUUGAACAUUAACUCUUCAACCCGCUCUAUACAUCAAACCAAAACAAAUAUAUCGACUAUGCAAACCGUCAUAUUGUUAUACAGGUUCGUCACAUGUAAAUAACGUUUUUUCCAAAGUCGUGGAGAAGAAGAAGCACAUAUACAUGGUGUCUGAUGAAUCAUUGAAGUAAAUUAACGUUCACCUCAUCAUUUGUGAUCCCGG